UACGUAGGUGGCAAGCGUUGUCUGGAAUUAUUGGGCGUAAAGCGCGCGCAGGCGGUCCUUUAAGUCUGAUGUGAAAGCCCACGGCUCAACCGUGGGGGGUCAUUGGAAACUGGGGGACUUGAGUACAGAAGAGAAGAGUGGAAUUCCACGUGUAGCGGUGAAAUGCGUAGAGAUGUGGAGGAACACCAGUGGCGAAGGCGACUCUUUGGUCUGUAACUGACGCUGAGGCGCGAAAGCGUGGGGAGCAAACAGG
This 253-nucleotide ribosomal RNA is filed under the name uncultured bacterium. RNAcentral describes it as "partial 16S ribosomal RNA". It matches the Rfam family "Bacterial small subunit ribosomal RNA", at positions 524 to 776 of the family's 1533-position model. The record is from RNAcentral.